RNAcentral lists this ribosomal RNA (974 nucleotides) under Klebsiella sp. HF13. RNAcentral describes it as "bacterial SSU rRNA". It matches the Rfam family "Bacterial small subunit ribosomal RNA", at positions 486 to 1472 of the family's 1533-position model. The record is from RNAcentral. Lineage: Bacteria; Pseudomonadati; Pseudomonadota; Gammaproteobacteria; Enterobacterales; Enterobacteriaceae.
GAAAGCCCCGGUAAUUCCUUCCAGCAGCCGCGGUUAUACGAGGGGGCAGCGGUUAUUGGAAUUUCUGGGUUAACCGCUCACUGGCGGUCUUCAUGUCUGAUGUGAAUCCCCGGCUCAACCUGGGACCUCGUUCGCAAGUGGCAGGGUAGCGUCUGUAGAGGGGGGUAUACUUCCAGGUGUAGCGGUGAAAUGCGUAGAUAUCGAACGAAUAUCGCGGGCGAAGUCUCUCCCCUGGACAAAGACUGACGGUCAGUUUGAAAAGCGUGCGGAGCAAACAGGAUUCGAUACUCUGGUAGUCCACGCCGUAAAAGAUGUCGAUUUUGAAGUUGUGCCCUUGAGGCGUGGCUUCCGGAGCUAACGCGUUAAAUCGCCCGCCUGGGGAGUACGCCCGCAAGGUUAAAACUCAAAUGAAUUGACGGGGGCCCGCACAAGCGGUGGAGCAUGUGGUUUAAUUGGAUGCAACGCGAAGAACCUUACCUGGUCUUGACAUCCACAGAACUUGGCAGAGAUGGUUUGGUGCCUUCGGGAACUGUGAGACAGGUGGUGCAUGGCUGUCGUCAGCUCGUGUUGUGAAAUGUUGGGUUAAGUCCCGCAACGAGCGCAACCCUUAUCCUUUGUUGCCAGCGGUUAGGCCGGGAACUCAAAGGAGACUGCCAGUGAUAAACUGGAGGAAGGUGGGGAUGACGUCAAGUCAUCAUGGCCCUUACGACCAGGGCUACACACGUGCUACAAUGGCAUAUACAAAGAGAAGCGACCUCGCGAGAGCAAGCGGACCUCAUAAAGUAUGUCGUAGUCCGGAUUGGAGUCUGCAACUCGACUCCAUGAAGUCGGAAUCGCUAGUAAUCGUAGAUCAGAAUGCUACGGUGAAUACGUUCCCGGGCCUUGUACACACCGCCCGUCACACCAUGGGAGUGGGUUGCAAAAGAAGUAGGUAGCUUAACCUUCGGGAGGGCGCUCACCCUCUUGGUUUCCCC